UAAACACAAAUAAAAAUAUCCCCCACAAUACAGAUCUAUCACAAAUAAGCCCUAUCUCACGCUUCGCUGCCAUUCACAGUCCGAUUACCUCCCAAAGUGGUGCAUUGAGAUCGAUGACAAAUGAUUCGUGUUGUAUAUUCAGCUAGGGUUUAAUAGGGUAGGAUUUCUUUUUCAAUUCGAUCAGUCGAUCACCAACCACUGAAGUUAUGAACAGGGCUAAGGCUGGUUUGGGAGUACUCGAUGGGCGAUUCGGGUAGGGUGCUUCUUAGAACGUUUUUUCGAAGCCGUUGUUUAAUCGGAAACAACUUGUGGGCAUUGGUGGUGGUUUGGUGGUUUGCACAGCUGGCUGCUAAAGAUAUGGCUGAGGUAAUGUUGGUGAGGAAUAGGGACACCAAUGAAAGUAAGGGUUUUGCAUUUGUGGGAUCAUAAGUAAAGAUGUUGCUUAAAAGGUCAUUAAAGAGCUACAUAACAAAGAUUUUAAGGGUAAGACCAUAAGGUGUUCGCUUUCUGAAUCUAAAUACAGACCAUUUAUUAGCAUUGUGCCAAAGACUUGACUACAACGUACCUGGAGGAAAGCUGAAUCAGGGCCUCUUUGUUCAUGCAGAAUCAGAAGAAAGUUCUGAUGAAGAGCCAGCAAAACCAUAAGCUGCAAAAUAGGUAGGAGGAUAUAUUGGUUUAAAACUGUAAAAAGAUAGGUAGAUUGUUUACUUCAAAUUGUGUCUUUUUUUUAUUUGAUUGGACUACAGGUUGAAAAGAAUAGGGGUGCUAAACGGGUUGUGUUUGUAGGUUGUCGGCUUCAACCCAACCCAAAAAUUUUAGACGAACCAGAACACGACCCGUACCCGAAAAUCUUGUCAUACAUAUGAACCCGAAAACAACCUAAAUAUUUGCAGGUUGACCCGAACAUAACCCGUUCAACCAGGAUUUUAUUAAUUUUUGAUUUUUUCAGCAAAUUAAUAUAUUAAAACGAAAAUUUACUCAAAAACACACAAAUAUGUAUAAUACAAUUAUAUCAAAAUUAUGGCAUAAAAACACACAAUAUUUAAUUUAUGACAUAAAACAUAUUAUACAAAAAUAUAAUUUAAUAUAAAUGGGUCAACCCGCUAACCUAACCGGGUUGACCUAACCCCGUUUAGCUAAACUGGUUUACGGGUUCGACAUGAAAUAAGCCAAACCCGUUUAGACUAAACCCAAACCUGUGAAUUUUGUGUUACGUUUGUGUCGUGCUUUCGGGUCGUGUCAGAAAUUCACAUCCCUAACGAAGAAGAUGAAAGCUCCAAAGAGAAGGAUGAACCGCAAAAUGAAAAAAAAGUACUAAUUUCUUUCAAUUUUGUUGAUAAUAAUCUAUACAUGUUUUUUAGUCUUAACCAAGGUUUAAAAGAACGGAAACGAGUUUCGAAGCGUUUUCCCUUCGCCUCACGAGGUGUAAGCCUCGAGGCGAAACGAGGCGUACGGC
This is a long non-coding RNA of Helianthus annuus (common sunflower), 1456 nucleotides long. RefSeq lists it as uncharacterized. The transcript has 4 exons. NCBI's taxonomy places the organism in Eukaryota, Viridiplantae, Streptophyta, Magnoliopsida, Asterales, Asteraceae. The record is from RefSeq and is a predicted model, not a curated record.